AGCAGUCGCCGCGGUAAUACGAAGGGGGCUAGCGUUGCUCGGAAUUACUGGGCGUAAAGGGCGCGUAGGCGGAUGUUUAAGUCAGAGGUGAAAGCCCAGGGCUCAACCUUGGAACUGCCUUUGAUACUGGACAUCUUGAGUGUGGGAGAGGUGAGUGGAACUCCGAGUGUAGAGGUGAAAUUCGUAGAUAUUCGGAAGAACACCAGUGGCGAAGGCGACUCACUGGCCCAUUACUGACGCUGAGGCGCGAAAGCGUGGGGAGCAAACAGGAUUAGAUACCCCGGUAGUCCCUGUCUCUUAUAC
This 303-nucleotide ribosomal RNA is filed under the name uncultured bacterium. Its description in RNAcentral is "partial 16S ribosomal RNA". It matches the Rfam family "Bacterial small subunit ribosomal RNA", at positions 507 to 807 of the family's 1533-position model. The record is from RNAcentral.